UACACUCCUGCGGGAGGCAGCAGUGGGGAAUAUUGGACAAUGGGCGCAAGCCUGAUCCAGCCAUGCCGCGUGAGUGAUGAAGGCCCUAGGGUUGUAAAGCUCUUUCACCGGUGAAGAUAAUGACGGUAACCGGAGAAGAAGCCCCGGCUAACUUCGUGCCAGCAGCCGCGGUAAUACGAAGGGGGCUAGCGUUGUUCGGAUUUACUGGGCGUAAAGCGCGCGUAGGCGGACUAUUAAGUCAGGGGUGAAAUCCCGGGGCUCAACCCCGGAACUGCCUUUGAUACUGGUAGUCUUGAGUUCGAGAGAGGUGAGUGGAAUUCCGAGUGUAGAGGUGAAAUUCGUAGAUAUUCGGAGGAACACCAGUGGCGAAGGCGGCUCACUGGCUCGAUACUGACGCUGAGGUGCGAAAGCGUGGGGAGCAAACAGGAUUAGAAACCCCGGUAGUCCCA
This 449-nucleotide ribosomal RNA is filed under the name uncultured organism. RNAcentral describes it as "partial 16S ribosomal RNA". It matches the Rfam family "Bacterial small subunit ribosomal RNA", at positions 332 to 797 of the family's 1533-position model. The record is from RNAcentral.